UACGGAGGGGGCGAGCGUUGUUCGGAAUUACUGGGCGUAAAGGGCGCGUAGGCGGCGUGCCAAGUCGGAUGUGAAAGCCCCGGGCUCAACCCGGGAGGUGCAUUCGAUACUGGCAGGCUCGAGUCCGGGAGAGGAUGGCGGAAUUCCCAGUGUAGAGGUGAAAUUCGUAGAUAUUGGGAAGAACACCGGUGGCGAAGGCGGCCAUCUGGACCGGUACUGACGCUGAGGCGCGAAAGCGUGGGGAGCAAACAGG
Molecule: unclassified non-coding RNA, 253 nt
Filed under: Rhodospirillales bacterium
Lineage: Bacteria; Pseudomonadati; Pseudomonadota; Alphaproteobacteria; Rhodospirillales
Also listed under: 1 other name
Description: partial 16S ribosomal RNA
Rfam family: Bacterial small subunit ribosomal RNA
Source: RNAcentral